GAUGAACGCUGGCGGCGUGCUUAACACAUGCAAGUCGAACGAAGCACUUUAUUUGAUUUCCUUCGGGACUGAUUAUUUUGUGGCUGAGUGGCGGACGGGUGAGUAACUCGUGGGUAACCUGCCUUGUACAGGGGGAUAACAGUUGGAAACGGCUGCUAAUACCGCAUAAGCGCACAGCAUCGCAUGAUGCAGUGUGAAAAACUCCGGUGGUAUAAGAUGGACCCGCGUUGGAUUAGCUAGUUGGUGAGGUAACGGCCCACCAAGGCGACGAUGCAUAGCCGACCUGAUAGGGUGACCGGCCACAUUUGGACUGAGACACGGCCCAAACUCCUACGGGAGGCAGCAGUGGGGAAUAUUGCACAAUGGGCGAAAGCCUGAUGCAGCGACGCCGCGUGAGCGAAGAAGUAUUUCGGUAUGUAAAGCUCUAUCAGCAGGGAAGAUAAUGACGUUACCUGACGAAGAAGCACCGGCUAAAUACGUG
This 481-nucleotide ribosomal RNA is filed under the name uncultured bacterium. RNAcentral's name for it is "partial 16S ribosomal RNA". It matches the Rfam family "Bacterial small subunit ribosomal RNA", at positions 28 to 507 of the family's 1533-position model. The record is from RNAcentral.